Non-coding RNA from Vicia faba (fava bean), 347 nucleotides. NCBI's taxonomy places the organism in Eukaryota, Viridiplantae, Streptophyta, Magnoliopsida, Fabales, Fabaceae. The record is from the annotation of a GenBank genome assembly.
AUGAUUGCACAAGAUAGUGAAAAUAUGUUAUAUAGAGGGAAGCGGUGCCAUCAAAUCGUGAGUAAUGGCAGUGAAACCAAAAAGCACCCUUAACCUGCUACAUACGACUGGAAGCAAGCGUGCCAGAGUUGGGUCAGCGAGUGAGCGAUUAGUAGUACAUUAAGGGCGAGAGUAGCGGCUUAGGUUAUCAAUUACCGACUUCUCCUUCCGGGAUAGAGAGUUUGUCCUGGGGAACUUUCGAUCUGGCCCUUUCUUUUCAUCUGUCUUCUGCCACCAAGUACGCGUACUACCUGUACCCCUUCUGCCAAGGGCUUAAUUUCCUUCUUAAUCCGCUUAAGCAGAAUUAG